AUUGAACGCUGGCGGCAUGCCUUACACAUGCAAGUCGAACGGUAACAGGUCUUUCGGGCUGCUGACGAGUGGCGAACGGGUGAGUAAUACAUCGGAACGUGCCUAGUAGUGGGGGAUAACUACUCGAAAGAGUGGCUAAUACCGCAUGAGAUCUAUGGAUGAAAGCAGGGGACCUUUGGGCCUUGUGCUACUAGAGCGGCCGAUGGCAGAUUAGGUAGUUGGUGGGAUAAAAGCUUACCAAGCCUACGAUCUGUAGCUGGUCUGAGAGGACGAUCAGCCACACUGGGACUGAGACACGGCCCAGACUCCUACGGGAGGCAGCAGUGGGGAAUUUUGGACAAAGGGCGCAAGCCUGAUCCAGCAAUGCCGCGUGCAGGAUGAAGGCCUUCGGGUUGUAAACUGCUUUUGUACGGAACGAAAAGUCUUGGGUUAAUACCCUGGGAUCAUGACGGUACCGUAAGAAUAAGCACCGGCUAACUACGUG
RNAcentral lists this ribosomal RNA (484 nucleotides) under uncultured bacterium. Its description in RNAcentral is "partial 16S ribosomal RNA". It matches the Rfam family "Bacterial small subunit ribosomal RNA", at positions 30 to 507 of the family's 1533-position model. The record is from RNAcentral.